UACGUAGGGUGCGAGCGUUAAUCGGAAUUACUGGGCGUAAAGCGUGCGCAGGCGGUUUUGUAAGCCAGAUGUGAAAUCCCCGGGCUUAACCUGGGAAUGGCAUUUGGGACUGCAAGGCUCGAGUGCGGCAGAGGAGACUGGAAUUCCUGGUGUAGCAGUGAAAUGCGUAGAUAUCAGGAAGAACACCCGUGGCGAAGGCGGCUCUCUGGGACGGUACUGACGCUGAGACGCGAAAGCGUGGGGAGCGAACAGG
RNAcentral lists this ribosomal RNA (253 nucleotides) under uncultured bacterium. Its description in RNAcentral is "partial 16S ribosomal RNA". It matches the Rfam family "Bacterial small subunit ribosomal RNA", at positions 524 to 776 of the family's 1533-position model. The record is from RNAcentral.